Molecule: long non-coding RNA, 510 nt
Organism: Nannospalax galili (Upper Galilee mountains blind mole rat)
Lineage: Eukaryota; Metazoa; Chordata; Mammalia; Rodentia; Spalacidae
Exons: 3
Source: RefSeq, a predicted model, not a curated record
CCAGCACAUGCAGCUCAGCUCAUCACGCACAGCCAGGAACAUGGUGGACCCUUAGCCAGGACAGCCAGGGGAAUCCAUCCCCAGAGCAUCUGGGAUCCAGCCAGGGCUGACUGCAGAGCUGGGUACAAGGACACAAGGUCAAGAGGACUCCAAACCAGCUCUACUUAUGGAAACAAGGUCAAUGAUUGAUUGGUUAUGUCUGCCAUGGCCAUGGACAAGAAGUCAACAAUCCACAGGCCCAACAGUGAAAGACAUUCAGAGUAGACACAGCUGAUCUGAUAAAGAUGGACACUGUUUUGCCAGGAAGACCACCUUCUGUAACACUCCCUGAAAUACUUUUCUCAUUGCUGUGAGGGAACAUCAUAAAUGAGGAAAGGUCUCACAGGUCAGCUGGCGUCCAGGAGGAACAGAUUAGUAAGUGCAGUACAAGCCCGGCCCAACCUUCCUGCCCUGCUUCCCGCAACCCAGCAAGAGGCCUGGUCCACGUUCACACUUCCUCAUCUCAGCGGG